RNAcentral lists this ribosomal RNA (404 nucleotides) under Actinomycetes bacterium. Its description in RNAcentral is "Actinobacteria bacterium partial 16S ribosomal RNA". It matches the Rfam family "Bacterial small subunit ribosomal RNA", at positions 355 to 776 of the family's 1533-position model. Lineage: Bacteria; Bacillati; Actinomycetota; Actinomycetes. The record is from RNAcentral.
UGGGGAAUAUUGGACAAUGGGCGCAAGCCUGAUCCAGCCAUGCCGCGUGAGUGAUGAAGGCCCUAGGGUUGUAAAGCUCUUUCACCGGUGAAGAUAAUGACGGUAACCGGAGAAGAAGCCCCGGCUAACUUCGUGCCAGCAGCCGCGGUAAUACGAAGGGGGCUAGCGUUGUUCGGAUUUACUGGGCGUAAAGCGCACGUAGGCGGACUUUUAAGUCAGGGGUGAAAUCCCGGGGCUCGACCCCGGAACUGCCGUUGAUACUGGAAGUCUUGAGUAUGGUAGAGGUGAGUGGAAUUCCGAGUGUAGAGGUGAAAUUCGUAGAUAUUCGGAGGAACACCAGUGGCGAAGGCGGCUCACUGGACAAUUACUGACGCUGAGGUGCGAAAGCGUGGGGAGCAAACAGG